GUGGGUAGGGUAAAACCAAGUCCCACCUUGUGACAGAAUUAAGCUACUCUUGGAGAGCUAAUGUAAUCACAUAGGAGUUGUAUCCACUUCGACGACCUUAACCUGGUUGAGAAGAAUUUUCGUAACUGAAAGAUGUGAGGUAUGAAGUAAAGAAAAUCCAAGACGGAAAUUGUGAGUAAUCAUUAAUCUCACAUCCC
Molecule: non-coding RNA, 197 nt
Filed under: unclassified sequences
Description: manA RNA
Rfam family: manA RNA
About the family: manA RNA has been located in 5'UTR regions of genes of mannose or fructose metabolism. Has been proposed as a cis-regulatory element and as a riboswitch candidate for his complex secondary structure.
Source: RNAcentral